RNAcentral lists this transfer RNA (90 nucleotides) under Gammaproteobacteria bacterium. RNAcentral's name for it is "tRNA-Ser". It matches the Rfam family "tRNA". From Rfam's summary of the family: Transfer RNA (tRNA) molecules are approximately 80 nucleotides in length. Their secondary structure includes four short double-helical elements and three loops (D, anti-codon, and T loops). Lineage: Bacteria; Pseudomonadati; Pseudomonadota; Gammaproteobacteria. RNAcentral also lists the same sequence under 3 other names. The record is from RNAcentral.
GGAGGUGUGGCAGAGCGGUUGAAUGCACCAGUCUUGAAAACUGGCAACGAUGCGAGUCGUUCGUGAGUUCGAAUCUCACCGCCUCCGCCA